GUCAGGACGAACGCUGGCGGCGUGCCUAAUACAUGCAAGUCGAACGGUCUUUCUAUGGAAGCUUGCUCCACUGAGAAGAUAGUGGCGAACGGGUGAGUAACACGUGGGUAACCUGCCCAUAAGAGGGGGGAUAACAUCCGGAAACGGGUGCUAAUACCGCAUAGUUUUCUUGAUCGCAUGAUCGGGAAAGGAAAGACGGCCUUUGUGCUGUCGCUUAUGGAUGGACCCGCGGCGUAUUAGUUAGUUGGUGAGGUAACGGCUCACCAAGACGAUGAUACGUAGCCGACCUGAGAGGGUGAUCGGCCACAUUGGGACUGAGACACGGCCCAAACUCCUACGGGAGGCAGCAGUAGGGAAUCUUCCGCAAUGGACGAAAGUCUGACGGAGCAACGCCGCGUGAGUGAAGAAAGGUUUUCGGAUCGUAAAACUCUGUUGUCAGAGAAGAACAAGUUGGAGAGUAACUGCUCCAGCCUUGACGGUAUCUGACCAGAAAGCCACGGCUAACUACGUGCCAGCAGCCGC
RNAcentral lists this ribosomal RNA (522 nucleotides) under uncultured bacterium. RNAcentral's name for it is "bacterial SSU rRNA". It matches the Rfam family "Bacterial small subunit ribosomal RNA", at positions 23 to 518 of the family's 1533-position model. The record is from RNAcentral.